GAUGAACGCUAGCGGGAGGCCUAACACAUGCAAGCCGAGCGGUAGAGUCUCUUCGGAGACUUGAGAGCGGCGCACGGGUGCGGAACACGUGUGCAACCUGCCUUUAUCUGGGGGAUAGCCUUUCGAAGGGAAGAUUAAUACCCCAUAAUAUACUGGAUGGCAUCAUCUGGUAUUGAAAACUCCGGUGGAUAGAGAUGGGCACGCGCAAGAUUAGAUAGUUGGUGAGGUAACGGCUCACCAAGUCAGCGAUCUUUAGGGGGCCUGAGAGGGUGAUCCCCCACACUUGUACUGAGGCACGGACCAGUCUGCUACGGAGGGCAGCGGUGAGGAACAUUGGGGGAUGGGUCAGGGCCUGAUCAAGCCAUCCCGCGUGAAGGACGACUGCCCUAUGGGUUGUAAGCUUCUUUUGUAUAGGGAUAAACCUAGAUACGAGUAUCUAGCUGAAGGUACUAAACGAAUAAGCACCGGCUAACUCCGUG
RNAcentral lists this ribosomal RNA (479 nucleotides) under uncultured bacterium. RNAcentral describes it as "partial 16S ribosomal RNA". It matches the Rfam family "Bacterial small subunit ribosomal RNA", at positions 28 to 507 of the family's 1533-position model. The record is from RNAcentral.